RNAcentral lists this ribosomal RNA (468 nucleotides) under uncultured bacterium. Its description in RNAcentral is "partial 16S ribosomal RNA". It matches the Rfam family "Bacterial small subunit ribosomal RNA", at positions 28 to 507 of the family's 1533-position model. The record is from RNAcentral.
GACGAACGCUGGCGGCGUGCUUAACACAUGCAAGUCGAACGGAAAGGCCCUGCUUUUGUGGGGUGCUCGAGUGGCGAACGGGUGAGUAACACGUGAGUAACCUGCCCUUGACUUUGGGAUAACUUCAGGAAAGUGGGGCUAAUACCGGAUAGGAGCUCCUGCUGCAUGAUGGGGGUUGGAAAGUUUCGGCGGUUGGGGAUGGACUCGCGGCUUAUCAGCUUGUUGGUGGGGUAGUGGCUUACCAAGGCUUUGACGGGUAGCCGGCCUGAGAGGGUGACCGGCCACAUUGGGACUGAGAUACGGCCCAGACUCCUACGGGAGGCAGCAGUGGGGAAUAUUGCACAAUGGGCGGAAGCCUGAUGCAGCAACGCCGCGUGCGGGAUGACGGCCUUCGGGUUGUAAACCGCUUUCGCCUGUGACGAAGCGUGAGUGACGGUAAUGGGUAAAGAAGCACCGGCUAACUACGUG